GACGAAGUGACAGUCCAGUUCGACGUGCUUCGUCCGUUCAUGAAAUACCGGAUUCUUCGCAAUGUGAAUGGCUGCAAGAUAUCCGAAUGAAGUGGCACCGGUAUUGAGAGGUCUUUGAACAGACGGACUAACCAGGUACCCUAGUCGAAAUCACAGAAAGCUGUCAGCUUGAAAGAGGAAGAGGAUGGGAAAAAUAGACCAAGACCUGGAUCAUUAGCAAGUAACGCAACACCCGCAAAGCAGCAGUUAAGUGCGACUGACAAGGAUCCUGCAUAAAUUGACUUAGGUGCUGCACAGGCCUCGUAUUAGUCAGGUCUUUAUCAGCUGGAACAUCUAGAGAUCCAUCAAUGAAUCCUAGUUUGUUCUGAGCAAUAAUCACAGCCCUUCUCCAGCCACCAUAGUUUCUACCAUCAAAGACAGUAGAAACAAGGUUCAUGCCUGGGAUAUCUGAAGGAUGAAUGCAGAAAGCAUGUGAAACAUGUACUGAUUUAUUUACAACAGCUACUUCAAAAAUUUCAGUAGUUUGUGAAAGGAGAAUCUGAACAUGAGUCAUUUUUCAAAAAAUGGAAGGAAGAGUGAAGACUAUGGAGAAGAAGAUAGGAUCAUUUUUCAAAGUGAG
This 619-nucleotide unclassified non-coding RNA is filed under the name Hevea brasiliensis (rubber tree). Lineage: Eukaryota; Viridiplantae; Streptophyta; Magnoliopsida; Malpighiales; Euphorbiaceae. The record is from RNAcentral.